Molecule: unclassified non-coding RNA, 234 nt
Filed under: plant metagenome
Description: partial contains small subunit ribosomal RNA, internal transcribed spacer 1, and 5.8S ribosomal RNA
Rfam family: Eukaryotic small subunit ribosomal RNA (bases 1-54)
Source: RNAcentral
GGAAGUAAAAGUUGUAACAAGGUCUCCGUUGGUGAACCAGCGGAGGGAUCAUUACAGGAUCGAAAGACUCCUAUAACCCCUGUGAACUUACUACAAAUACGUUGCUUCGGCGGGUGCCCCGGGUCUCCCGGGGCGUUCAGCCCGCCGGCAGCCUUCAAAUUCUGUUUCUUUGCGUUGGCAUCUCGAGUAUACAAAAAUAAGUUAAAACUUUCAACAACGGAUCUCUUGGUUCUG